UACGUAGGGGGGCAAGCGUUGUCCGGAUUUAUUGGGCGUAAAGAGCGUGUAGGCGGCCAGACAGGUCAGCUGUGAAAACUCGAGGCUCAACCUCGAGACGUCGGUUGAAACCGUCUGGCUAGAGUCCGGAAGAGGAGAGUGGAAUUCCCCGGUGUAGCGGUGAAAUGCGCAGAUAUCGGGGAAGAACACCCGUGGCGAAGGCGGCUCUCUGGGACGGUACUGACGCUGAGACGCGAAAAGCGUGGGGGAGCGAACAGG
RNAcentral lists this ribosomal RNA (258 nucleotides) under uncultured bacterium. RNAcentral describes it as "partial 16S ribosomal RNA". It matches the Rfam family "Bacterial small subunit ribosomal RNA", at positions 524 to 776 of the family's 1533-position model. The record is from RNAcentral.